Melopsittacus undulatus (budgerigar) is the source of this 9301-nucleotide RNA transcript. It is a transcript of the gene named myelin expression factor 2, with no coding region annotated. The transcript has 18 exons. NCBI's taxonomy places the organism in Eukaryota, Metazoa, Chordata, Aves, Psittaciformes, Psittaculidae. The record is from RefSeq and is a predicted model, not a curated record.
AUGGCGGAGAACGACAAGCUCGAGGCUGCGCCCUCUGCGCCGCAGCGCGGAGCCGAGGAGGCCGCUAACGCCGUCCGUCCGCUGCAGCAACAGCCACCGCAGCUGCAGCAACAGCCACCGCAGCAGCAGCAACAGCCGCCACCGCAACAGCAGCCACCGCGGGAUGAGGAGGCGGCGGCGGUAGCCGCAGCAGCAGCCACAGCGGCAGUCACCGAGAGUGGCGGAGGCAGUGCUAAUGGCGUCAAAAUGGGUAAUGAUGAGACAGCAAAAGAAGAGAAAGUACCUGCUAAAGAAAAGUAUGUUGCAAAACCGAAGGCAAUCCCUUCUCUUGGAAGCAAGAAUAGAUUCCACCCCUAUUCAAAGGACAAGAAUGCAGGCACUGGAGAGAAGAAGGCUGUUAAUCGUAAUAGAGUUUUUAUUAGCAACAUCCCAUAUGACAUGAAAUGGCAAGCUAUUAAAGAUCUUAUGAGAGAGAAAGUUGGUGAGGUUACAUACGUGGAGCUGUUUAAGGAUGCUGAAGGAAAAUCAAGGGGUUGUGGUGUGGUUGAAUUCAAAGAUGAAGAAUUUGUUAAGAAAGCAUUAGACACUAUGAACAAAUACGAUCUUAGUGGAAGACCCCUGAAUAUUAAAGAGGAUCCUGAAGGUGAACAUGCUCGUAGGGCAUUACAGCGUGGAGGAGGACAGUUUCCAGGAGGACAUGGACCUGAUGUAGCACCUGGAAUAAUGAAUUUACCACCUUCUAUUCUCAAUAAUCCAAACAUUCCUCCUGAUGUUAUCAGUAACUUGCAGGCAGGCAGGCUUGGUUCCACUAUUUUUGUUGCUAAUCUUGACUUUAAAGUUGGCUGGAAGAAACUGAAGGAGGUAUUCAGCAUUGCAGGAACUGUAAAGCGUGCAGACAUCAAAGAAGAUAAGGAUGGCAAGAGUCGAGGGAUGGGAACAGUUACCUUUGAACAAGCAAUUGAAGCUGUUCAAGCAAUAUCUAUGUUCAAUGGACAAUUCCUGUUUGAUAGACCCAUGCAUGUAAAAAUGGAUGACAAAUCAGUUCCUCAUGAAGACUUCCGUGCUGGAGACAGCAAAACUUCACAAUUACCUCGUGGUCUUGGUGGUAUUGGUAUGGGACUUGGACCAGGUGGACAGCCUAUCAGUGCAACACAAUUGAACAUGGGCAGUGGAAUGGGGAGCAUGGGUCCAGGAGGUAUGGGAAUAGACGGUCCAGGAUUUGGUGGAAUGAACAGAAUGGGAGGCGGACUUGCUGGACUUCGUGGAAUGGAAGGAAUGCCUAAUAUGGGAGGAUUUGGAGUUAACCGAAUGGGAGAAAUGUUCCGUGGUGGAAUGGGAGGAAACAUGGACAGAGAAUUUGGUCGUGGUGAAAUGGCAUUGAACCGUGGUUUUGGAGAUUCUUUUGGAAGGAUGGGUGGUGCAAUGAUUGGUGUUUUUGCAGGAGGAUUGGGAGCACCUAGCAUGGGCCCAGUAAGAUCUGGAAUGAGUGGUGGAAUGGGUGGCAUGAACAGUAUGCCUGGAGGAAUGGGAAUGGAUCGGAUGUGUUCGGGUUUUGAUCGAAUGGGACCAGCUAUGGGUGGAGGUUUGGACAGGAACAUCGAUGUUGAUCGAGGAUUUGUGCCUGGGCCAAUGGGAAGUGGCAUGAGAGAGAGAUUAAGCAAUAAAGGCAACCAGAUAUUUGUGAGAAAUCUUCCUUUUGACUUGACCUGGCAGAAGUUAAAGGAGAAAUUCAGUCAGUGUGGUCAUGUAAUGUUUGCAGAAAUAAAAAUGGAGAAUGGAAAAUCAAAGGGCUGUGGAACAGUCAGAUUUGACUCACCAGAAUCUGCUGAAAAGGCCUGUAGGAUAAUGAACGGCAUAAAAAUCAGUGGCAGAGAAAUUGAUGUACGCUUGGAUCGCAAUGCAUAACUUAAAACUGUGUGUUCAGGAACAUUCCUAUGUCUGUUUAGCUUCUCUAUCCUAGUAAGUAAUUUUUAGUAACAUUGUAUGCUUACAAAAGCUGUAAAAAGGAACUUUUAAAUCCCACCAGCCUUUAACAGUAUAGUGUUUAAUAUACUGUGAUACUUGUUAAAUGAAUCUUAUGAUGUUUGGUUUUUAAAGACAAUUUGCCUGAUUUUUGUUGUCUUUUUAGAGGCACAGAGCACCUGCAGGUCCCUGUUAGGCCAUGGAAGCUUUGGGUGCUCAGUGCCUUUGGAAAAUUAGGCCAAGUGUCUCUAGUCAUUCAGUUUAAAUGAAUGGUUAUACUGUUUUUAAUAAAAUAAGCCAUUUUCUCUGUUAAUCUCAAGAUUGCAUAGUGGGAUUUGUUUAGUGUCUUCUUAUUUUUAUCCCCCCAGUGUGUAUCAACAUUGUAAUGUAAAAACUAGAUGUCUUUUUCUUUCAUUUUUCCAGAAUUUUGGUUUUACAUGUGCAUUGUCCUCAUACUGUAAUUCUUGUCUCUAAAAGAAAGGGCUCCAAUUAGGCUGUAAUGUUUUUGUUCUACUUAAUAUUACUUUAAUGACAUGACUUAGUUCUGUAAAUAAGAGUUAGAGCCCAAUGGGAGUUUGAAUUUUUUUUUAUUAUUAUUUUAACUAGAUGAAGAAACUGGUCUUUAUCUUUUUUCUUUUUUUUUUAUCAGUAUAAUAUCUGAUUAAAACUAGUUCCCACAGACUCUUGUAGGAUUGUUCCCUAUGAUACCAAGUUCAUAUAAAAUUGAUAAUACAGUAAAUACUAAGUACAGUGCAAGACAAAUUGCUCCCAGUUUUUUAUCUAUUUUCCACCCAUUCAGGUGAACUGCCAGAAAAAUAAAAACAACAGAACAGAUAAGAGAAAUGGCUGUAUAUGUCAAACCACUGCUGUUUACUUCUACGGGUCCUGAUGUAUUUAUGAAGGCAGUUCUUAUAAACCAGGGUAUUCCCAAACAGAGCAUAUCAAAUACAUUGGAUCCUACAAUGUUAGACAUAGCCAUAUCUCCAUUUCCUGUAAAAGAAGAAAUACAAAUAAGUCUGUGUAAUUGUACUGUAUAAAAUUGCCAAACUGUUUUGGAGCAGCAGACUGUCAGCCCUCAGUCUCUCACAGAGCACCCUUUUCAGACUUUUCAUUGAAAGAGCUAUACUCACAAUUCUGCAGAACAUGGUUUUGGGUACCACAAGCAUUAAAAAAAGUCUCCCUAAAUCACCAGCAUCUGCGCAGUUGCGCUUAAAACAAGCUAGACAGUCUUGUAAAGUCCAGUCAUGUUAAAAAUCCCAAGACCUACAGUUGUGUUUUGCAGUAAAAGUGUAACACUUGAUCAACAACAUAUCAAACCAAUCUGGAAUACUUCUCUGAGAUACCAUGAGAGGUUUUUGAAUGUCUGAGCCACAGCUUCUUCAGGUAAGCUAUUUAUUUAUUAGUAGUACACUUCAGCUCUAGAAUCUGGAGCAGAAACUUUGAAGUUACUUCUUGAAUUCCUUGGAAGUGUUGACUCAAAAUUCUUUUCUUUAAUAGUAACUUUUAAAAACAUCCAUCAGAACAAGUCUGAAUACCAAAAUCUUUACCUUUUCUAGCCACCAGCACGCUUGCAACUGUAUCUGGUACACUUGUUCCUGCUGCCAGUAAUGUGAGACCCGUUACUGACUCUGGAAUUCCCAGUGUUUCACCUGCAGUUGAUAAAUCCAUUAGAAAAUGCAAGUAUGUUUUUAGUUAAAGUUUCAUCCAAAAAAAUUUGGACUUUGUUCUCUGGGGAGAAAGAAUUAAUUAUCAUACAGUAAUUUUAAAAGGAAUGUGUUGGCUAACUUGACUAAAUAAGAAGUGACUGAACCAUUAAUAGUUAAGAACAAUAACAAAGAAAUAGCAUCCUGUCCAUAUUCUUCAAUGAAAUAACAAAGGAACUGUAGUGUAGUAAUCAUCUUGCUUAAUAAGUAUCUCGAAAGCCUGAGUGGAGUGUCUCCAGUGGUCAAGACAAUACCAAUUAUGGUAUAUUUUAUUUUGGGUACAGUAGAAGUUUAAAUAUCCAACAAUUUACACUUCCCUCCAACUUUUAGGAAAUAGAAAAUUUUCUGGUUUUGAGCAUAUUAUGAUUGGUGCUCAAAAGUCUUAUGAAGCAAUAACUCUUAUAGUCACCCUCUAUAGUGGUAGGAAAAAAGCACAUGAAUUUUCUUGGGAGGAGGGUCCUUAGGAUCAUUACUUACAAUCCUGUCUCAACUACAUGGCUUUAUUAUUUCACUCCAGUUAGGUUUUGUGUUGGGUGUAGUUGGAUUUGGAAGAAUCAUAACGCAGAAUUUUUAUGACUUUUAAGUGCAAGUUACUCUUGUGUGAGUUUCUUUAGAUAAAUACUGGCUUAAACUAAGAAGUUUUAAAUUGUUACUAAAACAGCAGCCCCACAUGUCCUGGAAGCAUAUUAAUUUCUCACUUAAAAUAUGUGGAUUUAGCUCUUCAGGACUGUUUUAGUGGUUGUACUAUUCACAAGCAUCAAUAUGCUGAAGUGUUUGAUAUCUCUAUUUAGACUAUUAAGUAAUUAGUUUUUCUCUAACUUUUCUGUUCACUAAAAGCAUCUUGAUACGUUUUUUUGGGGGGGAAGGUUGAAAUCUGAAUUCUCAUUUGCAAUAUGUGGACGCUAAUAAAGAGCAGUUUUCUUAAAGUAAGAGGCAGUGCUUGGAAGCAAUGCUUGCCUGUACCACCCAGCGUAGUCUGGAUCACUUAAGGAAAUUUAUGUUUGAAACUGUUGGUUCAAAGGGACUAAUACGAUCCUGUUGCAGAAUAUGUACCAGUGUUUAUUCUCCCAUCACUCCUAAUGUAAGAGAUUUAUAAGAUGAGGGACCAAGAAGAUCAGCUUUUAUAAACCAUCCAAGUGGAAAAUAAUGGUUUAUGCCAAGCAGACCAGUGUGAAAUAUGAAUGAACCCUCCGUGUUGUACCCAAUAGUGGUUUCUAGCCCUCUGAACGUUAUCAGAUAGAAUCUAAACUCAGGUGAAUCUAAAUUUUUCUUUUUAUUUUAGAUAGAUGUAUUUUCUAUUUAAUGUGAAGGGUUGUUUGUUUUUUUUCUGGCAACUGACAUAAAUAGAGAAUGGUUUUAUUUUUCUAGCCUUUAAUUAAUUUUGUGUAUCAGUAGCAAUAUCUUGCUAUAAGUAGUAGUAUUCUGUUAGGAUUUUUUUUUUUUGCUAGCAACAAAAAAGUCACUAGGGUUUGUUCCCGAUGAUCAAAAUUCAGUCCCCAGUUAUGAUAUCUUUGUGAUGUUCUGAUAGGCUGUUACGCCACAACAGAAUCUUUGAGUCACCCUUCAUAAAAGAACCUGGACUUGAAUAGAAUGUGUGUUAUUUAGUGGUUUAACAUGUAAAUAGAAUAUAUUGGACCUAGAAGUAGUGGGUUAAAGACCCCAAUACUGCUUGUGAUGACUGUUCAAAGUGGACUAACACUAAUACACUCUCUGAAUCUCCAGUGUACCUGCUUUCACAUGGAUUAGUGGUUUGUUUUCUAGCACAGCAAUAACUUUCAUUUGAGUCCUGUUUUGAAGGCUUCUAUCAUUCAGACAGUAAACCUUUGCCUCUAGAUACAAGUAGAAAAUUUUUUGACCCGGGAGUGAACCUGGUGGGCAUUACUUCCAGUGAUCUACUAGUCAUUUCUCAAAGGUUUACCAAAUGUGUCUGUUUCUGCACUGAACAAGGAGUUAUUCAUCAAACUUAAGUUGAAAACAACUUUAGGAUGCUGUACUAGCAGAAUACUUGAGUAGGGUUAGUGAGCUCUACUGUGGAAAUAGCAAGCUUUGUAACCUUUCUUGUUUAGAGAUUUGCUGCUUGUUCUUAAAAUUAAAAACUGGAUUUGUUUUUUUUUUUCAAGCUGACUGGAGAAACAAUGAAAUGAGAUCUUUAAUAACUGAAGAUAGUUUUAAGAGAACGUUUUUACACAGAAAUUUUCUUACCCCUUAUCUCACUCCAGUGCAAUUCUUUUACUACUUUAUGGUUAAGAUUUAUAAGAGGUAUACAUACACACCAAAAAUGUUUAAUAAAUCUGUGAUGCUAUAGGUGUAAUAAAAUAGUACAGAAAUCUAGGAGAUGCUUUUGGCAAUUAAUUUAAUACCCAAUCUCUUACUGUAGUACUCAAGCAAAAAUACAGGUAUAGAAAUAAUAGUUUGUUUAUGGAACUCUGUACCUUUAAUUCCAGUCUGGGUGGAUUGUUUAUCAGACUUCAACUUGACAGGUCUAUUUUUGUGUAUUUAAUUAUUUCACUUAAUGAAGAAGUUUCAUGAAAGUUUCUCUUUAAAUACAGGAUUUUUUUUACAGCUAUGUAAACAAAUUCUCAUUCAUGUGCUGGUAAACAGUCUGAAGCAGCUAAACUUUAAAGUGGUUUUCAUUAGAUGAAAGAAGGUGGCAAGUUAAGCAGUCAAACAUGUUUUUGUUGGGUUUGUUGUUUUAAGCAAAGUAUGUGUUGCUAAACUGAGUGUUAAUUGUGGAAAGGAAAACUCUUCACAGGGGGAAAAACUGUGGUUUUUUUUCAGUGAUUCUUAAUUGGUUGAGUCUGUGUCUAGCAGCAGCACUUCAGGUACCUACCUGCUAUUGUUAUCAUCCAUACUAGGAUGUAAGUUAUGGCAGAAAUCCAUGCUGCUGACAUUAAAAAUGUCACCAUGAACCAGUUCCUCCAAAACUGUCUUCUGCAAUCUGGUAUAGUCAAAUAGAGUAGUGUAAUAAUAGGAAGGGAUAACACCCACACAAUUCUCUUCAUAUCUGCUUCAGGCAUGGUGAAGACACUUAGAUGAUCUGUUGAGGAAAAACACUAUUUUAAAUUGUAGCAUGGUUUGAAUCCAUAACAUAGCCAUGUUACUGGCAUCUACUUGUGAGAAUACUGAAAACAGGUUAAAAAUACUUCAAGCUGUAGUCUUACCCAGUACCUACAUCACACUGGGUGAAACUCUGAAAUCAGAUGUUCUUUGUUACCAUGCCAAGUAGGAGAGAACUAAGGUGGGUGAACUUUUCUAUAAAGGUCUACACAAAAGGUUUACCAAGAGUAAGUACCAGCUGAUGGUUUUUGCCUAAGUGAAGAGGAAACUGAUGAUCUGUGGUCACAUCAUAGCUAUUUCUGUACUUCUGAUGGUAAUGCAUGUUUUGCGCUUUUUCUAAUUGUCGUAAGAAAACAGUAUUAGUACAGUACCAGUGUGUCUUUCAGCUGAUUAUAUCUUACAAGCAGCAUUGCAGGGAAGUUUCUAAUGUGCACAGCAAAGACUGAUGGAAGUCUGCUGUUCUAAUAUGACACAAAUGAAUUACUAUCUUAGCAUUCCUCUAGUAACUAACUUCAUUUAAGAACCACCAUUCUGGUUUUACUUGAUAUUAUGUUCCAGGGAAGAAUAAUGCUUUACUUAAAUACAAUGCUGGGGUUCUUUUGUGAACAAAAUCUUAAUACUAUCUCAGAAUCUACUCUUUAUUAGAAAUGAUGCAGACAGGCAUGCAGAAUAUAAAGACAACUGUAAUAAUACUUCUACCUUCAGAGAUUUCAUCAAGCCCAUGCAAGCUGGUUGAAAGCUGAGAGUAGUCCAGCUCAUCUUGAAAAAUGCCACUAUCUGUUCUUGACUGUUGUCGGAUUAGAGGUCCACUCUCUUCCCUCCACCCAACCAGUGGCUGCUGCUCAGCAUUCUCUUCCAUAGCUUUUGUAAAACACACACAGCAGGGACUGAACCUUUUCAUGAGGUAUUGGUUGAUUUUAAUGUCAAAACAUAGUAUGAGAAUAUAACACCCGUAUAUCAAUAAUAAGGAUGCACUUUCAUACCUAGAAUGAGAAACAGGUUUUACAUAACAUAUAGUACAAAAAACUCACAACUGUUUGACUCAUUAAAGUGGCUGGUGUAAGGAGAGAGAAAAUUUGUGAGUAGCAAAAGGAAAACACCCAAAUUAUCUGUUUGCAGUUGUAUGGUUGAUCUCAUGAAAGUUCGUGAGUGUCCCCAUGUCUUUCAGCAAUUGGAAUGAUUCCACUCCCCUGCAGAAUCUUGUCUGUGUAUUGUAUAGCUGCCUGUCUUCCAGGGGAUCUUAAUGAACAGCGUCUUAUUGAUUGUGAAACUGAGUCUUCAUGUAAUGGUUAUAGAGAAGAUAGUGUGUGCUAUUUUGAGUUGAAAACAGCAGACUUUGUAUGGGACAUGACUGAAUUGUUGAGGCAGCUGGGAAUUUCAGUUUACCUGGAAGAGAGUUAAAACCUCAGAAGCUCAUGAUCUACUUCUAGUAGAUAAAGGCUGAAAAGGAGUAGAGUAUGAAGACUAAUUGCUAUGCCAGAACAGUGGUGGUAGAAAUUAUGAAGUCUCUACAGACAAACCUAUGCAGAGUAAACUUUAUAAAUAUGCAGGGUUUGAAUGUUUAGGUAAUAAUCUUUAUGAGCAUUGUGACUUUCUUGGUUGUAUUUUGGUUUUGUUUUUGAUUAGCCAACAGGAUGUUUAUUUCUGUUAGUGAAUGGUAGUUCAGGCUACCUGAAGUUUGGGGCUUGGGGUUUUUGGUUUGUUUUUCAAACCAUUGUCUCGCUAAUCUCCAGUCAACAUGAAUUCCAACACUACUUGUGCUCUUACCAGUAAAUUCUGUUGUCGGAUAUCAUCGCAAGGACUGCUGCCACACUAACUGUAUAUGCCAGGCAGUCUCUAAACAGCGGCCAACAGGAUAGCUUUGACACCUGCAGAACACAGAUUCAUUUCCUUUUCUUGAACUUGUCUGUAAUACUUUCACCAAGUGCUGUAAAUGCUGCAUCAAUAUGUUGUUUCUAUAUAAUGUAAAAAUUUAAGAUUCUUAGGAAUGACUUGAGUAUGAUAUUUAACAAGUUAAUGUUUUUAAAAACUUUCAUAGCAAGUUACCUUAAAACAUGCUGGUUUUGCUACUAAAUAAUAAACUUGGCAGUUGUCAUAGUAAGUCUCUCUUGGCUUUUGUUGGCAAAUCAGAAAGGAUAACCAUUUGGCUCUUAGGAGCAGAACUAUCAAAAUUGAUACCUACCACGCUGGAAAACAGCCCACAAGCUGCAGAAAUACCAAGAAGAUUAUAGUUUGCUGAUCCGAGGAUGGUGCUGAUGCCGAUGUCUCCCUUGGUCACGAAGACUCCUAUAUGGGAAAUGACUCUGGAAAAUCCAUGCUACUUUGUCUUCACAUACCAGAAAUACUAGUUAAAUUCAAACCAGUGCUGCGAUCUUAAAAUCAGAUUUUCUCUUCGUAUGGACAAUGUAUGAGCCUGUGUCUUGCUUGAAUGAAUAAGAUUUUUGUUCUGGUAAGUGGACUGUUUCUGAAAUGUAACUCUGGAUCAAGUUCUACACACUGAGAACAGGGACGUAUGGCUAACUAUGGAAAAAGUCUGACAAAUGCUUAUUUAUCAUCAAUAAAAAAAUAUCAGCUCUGCA